Molecule: ribosomal RNA, 332 nt
Filed under: uncultured Desulfomonile sp.
Lineage: Bacteria; Pseudomonadati; Thermodesulfobacteriota; Desulfomonilia; Desulfomonilales; Desulfomonilaceae
Description: bacterial SSU rRNA
Rfam family: Bacterial small subunit ribosomal RNA
Source: RNAcentral
CGUGUAGGCGGUUGAGUAAGUGGAAUGUGAAAUGCCCAGGCUCACCCUGGGACCUGCAUUCCAUACUGCUCAGCUCGAGUAUGGGAGAGGAUGAGGGAAUUCCUGGUGUAGCGGUGAAAUGCGUAGAUAUCAGGAGGAACACCGGUGGCGAAAGCGCUCAUCUGGCCCAAUACUGACGCUGAGGCGCGAAAGCUAGGGGAGCAAACGGGAUUAGAUACCCCGGUAGUCCUAGCCGUAAACGGUGAUCACUAGGUGUUGGAGGCAUCGACCCCUCCAGUGCCGCAGCUAACGCAUUAAGUGAUCCGCCUGGGGAGUACGGCCGCAAGGUUGAA